AAAAAAAAAAAACGCCCAAAGGAAGCGUGAUUAAUGAGCGCCGUUCACCUGAACCUGGAUCUUUGCACCUGCAGGAUCUGCUUUCUUGGAGCUGUGGAGACCUGCUGGGACUGCAGCAAAAAAUACGCAAGGCUUGUCAAGGGCAAGCGACUCGAUACGCCACCAGCUAGCCAAAAUGAAUUCCUCCAUCGACAGACGCGCGUCUCCGUGCGCCGAUAAAGGCGGCCAGCCUAUAGAGCCAUUGACAGGAUGAUGGAGGGAGAGACGAGGAGAAGGUGAUGACGGAGAUGACAUCAUGUGACCAAUGGCUUGUCUUGACCUGCUGCAUCUGCCAGACGCCUCAUAAAGUACAUCUCCGCCAUCGAAUGACACACACCCAUAUAUACAUAUGAUUGCUAAUGUUUUGACCUUCAAAUGCACGUAGGUUGUUAGGAAACGGUGGCAAGGUAUGCGAGAGGCAAACGAGCAGAGGGUUAGGUGUGAGAGAGGAUGACUGUCUCGUCCACUACUCACCUUGUAGAUCAUCCCGCGCUUCUGCCCAAACUGGCUUCUCCUCCAUGAGGCAGUCCCGCUUGGCCCGACAUGACCACACAAAGACAUGUGAAGAGGGGAGGCCGCUUUAUUAUCAGGUCGGAGGCCUAGAGAGGCAAGAGGAUGGGUAGAAGGGCUGUGGCCUCCAGCUCUAUCCAUCACACACGUCCUGACCUUGGCUUGACCCGAGCGUGGCAGCCAAUGAGGCGCCAUCUUCUCCCUCCAAACCCUCGCACGCACUUAUCUAGCCCCACGUUCGCAUCGAAGGGAUCGGGUGACACCGAGUGGAGGCUGGAUGCUCUUUGUGUCGCCCCGUCGCUCCUUCGUGUCUUUGUUUUUUUACGUGACUAAUGUGAGUAACAACACCUGACAAACAGGCUGUUGAUCCUGUCUCCUCUCUCAGGCUUGUGCCCCCUCCCACCACCCCCAACACCCUGCGAGGAAAAGCUUUGUUGGUCACAAUAGGAAAACAGUAGCGCGGUCCUCCAUCCAUCUCCAUAGAUUCCUAUUGUGAGGAGAUGACGUGUCAUUUCGCCGGCAAAAUGCUACAUGCUAAUGCUGAGAAAUGAAGCACAUGCUUUCUCAGGGCUACUAUAGGGGCCCUUUACCAGAUACAAAAAGUGGCUGCGUUCUCCUUAUCUUCAUAUUUAUACCAUAUAGUAUUAAUUUUUAACAUUUCACCUGUAAUCAAACCCAACAACACCACCAAAAAAAAAAAAAAAAAAAGUCACUUCCAAUGCGACUGAUGUUUUGAACACACCCAUCACCACCCCCAGCAACUCUGCCGUGUCAUUCAAGCAUGGCCUUGCAGUUUAACCACUGCAAACAAACCGAUGGGCGGUGUUGUCGUUGCUGUGACAACCUCACAAACAAUCUCGGAGUAAAGUCUCCGUUUUGUUAGGCAGAGAUUGUGCCUUGCUUCAUCUGAAAAGGCUUUGGAGUCAAAGGGUCACGGUUCAAGUUGUGGCAGAAAUGCGAUUCUGCAACCUGGCUGCUGUUGACGUGCCCUUGAGCAAGAGGGGGCAGUACGAUCUGACGUCUCUCCUUGCAUGCCUGAAUGUGUGUGAUUUUUUAAUUUUUUUUUUGCGAGAGAGAGCGCGAGCGUUAAUGAUUUAUCUUAUGCAACGCAUCAAAUAGGAUCAAAUCUUUCCCCUUGGCAGCGACCUACGACGUUCUGCUUCCUUCCGUACAUUUGUGCCUUUGGUUACUCUGCAAGGCUGUUAAACACACACAGCUGAGCCACGGCCUCUACCUCCUGAACUGCAACGCCAGCAGCGCUCUUGUCAAUAACACUCUGCAGCCUGAGCCAAGACUUUGAUAUGGAGGACCUGGGGCUUUGUUCUCCUGACGGCUGAAGUAGCACGUGUUGCCACAUAGCCUGGAGCCCAUAAUUGCUAACAUAUCGCAUGAGAGGAAAAAAAAAAAAAACUACAUUGCCUUACUCCAUACACAGAUCCAAACGCACAAGGCCCAGGGCAGAAAAGAAGAUGAAAUGUCUACAUGUUGGUGAGUGUUUGGAUCUUGGCGUGUUUGUCCGGAUGCUUUAGCUCACCUGUGAGCCACCUGUCUGCUCCGUGUACAAGAAGAGCAAUGGCGCUCACGCGAGCACUAGAAACACAACCUGGGAGGGAUUUGCCAGCCAUUUGUGCACUCACCGACACAAAAUGGCAUCGCUCGACCUUUGACGGUCAUUUACAAGAAGUGACAAAGGCGCUCACUUAUCAUCGGUCUGCUGGAUUUAAACGUUCCACGAAUAUGAUUUUGUUUCGUGAACUAUUCAUGUUGGUUAAAUGUGAUUUUGACGCUUUCGUUUUAUACAGAACCAGCAUACUAUUUUUUUUAUUAUUAUUAUUAUUAUUUUUUUUUUAGUACAGUUACUCAUUGAGUAUUUUUUUGCCUGAAUACUUCAGUGAUUAUUUGGUGGGCUGCCUUUUGGUUUGAUUGAAGGCAAAUUAUUCCAAAGUAACAGUGUCCUGACGUCAGUAUAAUUUUCAGCUACUUGACCCACUUUUUU
Hippocampus comes (tiger tail seahorse) is the source of this 2545-nucleotide long non-coding RNA. RefSeq lists it as uncharacterized. Lineage: Eukaryota; Metazoa; Chordata; Actinopteri; Syngnathiformes; Syngnathidae. The record is from RefSeq and is a predicted model, not a curated record. The transcript has 3 exons.